UCCCUACGGGGGGCAGCAGUGAGGAAUAUUGGUCAAUGGCCGGAAGGCUGAACCAGCCAAGCCGCGUGAAGGACGAAGGUGCCAAGCAUUGUAAACUUCUUUUGUCAAGGGACAAAAUCAGGCUCGAGAGCCUGACCGAGGGUACUUGAAGAAAAAGCAUCGCCUAACUCCGUGCCAGCAGCCGCGGUAAUACGGAGGAUGCGAGCGUUAUCCGUAUUUAUUGGGUUUAAAGUGAGCGUAGCCGGCCUGUUAAGUCCUC
RNAcentral lists this ribosomal RNA (259 nucleotides) under uncultured bacterium. RNAcentral's name for it is "partial 16S ribosomal RNA". It matches the Rfam family "Bacterial small subunit ribosomal RNA", at positions 335 to 592 of the family's 1533-position model. The record is from RNAcentral.